This 468-nucleotide ribosomal RNA is filed under the name uncultured bacterium. RNAcentral's name for it is "partial 16S ribosomal RNA". It matches the Rfam family "Bacterial small subunit ribosomal RNA", at positions 28 to 507 of the family's 1533-position model. The record is from RNAcentral.
GACGAACGCUGGCGGCGUGCUUAACGCAUGCAAGUCGAACGGAAAGGCCCUGCUUUUGUGGGGUGCUCGAGUGGCGAACGGGUGAGUAACACGUGAGUAACCUGCCCUUGACUUUGGGAUAACUUCAGGAAACUGGGGCUAAUACCGGAUAGGAGCUCCUGCUGCAUGGUGGGGGUUGGAAAGUUUCGGCGGUUGGGGAUGGACUCGCGGCUUAUCAGCUUGUUGGUGGGGUAGUGGCUUACCAAGGCUUUGCCGGGUAGCCGGCCUGCGAGGGUGACCGGCCACAUUGGGACUGGGAUACGGCCCAGACUCCUACGGGAGGCAGCGGUGGGGAAUAUUACACAAUGGGCGGAAGCCAGAUGCAGCAACGCCGCGUGCGGGAUGACGGCCUUCGGGUUGUAAACCGCUUUCGCCUGUGACGAAGCGUGAGUGACGGUAAUGGGUAAAGAAGCACCGGCUAACUACGUG